This 21842-nucleotide long non-coding RNA is filed under the name Gossypium barbadense (sea-island cotton). RNAcentral's name for it is "long non-coding RNA (GBAR_LNC006855)". The record is from RNAcentral. Lineage: Eukaryota; Viridiplantae; Streptophyta; Magnoliopsida; Malvales; Malvaceae.
AAAGUAAAAUUAAAAAAAAAAUCAAAUUAUACAAAGUUAAUUUUUUUAAAACUUAAAUUAAAUCGACAUUGUAGACCCAAUUUUCAGCCCGGCCUAAACCACCAGGAACCUAAAACCAAAUACAAGCCAAUUAAAGCCCAAAUACCUACAUUUAAGUCCAAAUCACAGCCCAAAUCAAACACCUAAAACAAAAUUACAAACCAAGCCCAAUUACAUAAACCCCAACAGCCCAAAAAAAUAAUAAAAACAAAAACAAAAACACCAUCAGCCGUCACAACCCAGGGCAGUCUCCAGGCACCGCACGUCUCGCGCUUCCUCCGCGUCAUGCGCUGCUCCACCAUGCCACAUCAGUGAUGCACUCACGCACGUACCUGCAAACAAGCUAAAGAGGUUGUAAAAAUCGGCUAUAAAGCCAAACCGAACCAAGUGUAAGGGGGGGUCUUUUUUUUGGAGAAAAAUAGCAGAAUACACACAAAAGAGGAAUCAAUAAAAAAAUCAAACUCAAAAUUCUAAAGGUUACUUUACUUCUUCUUUGGGUCUUUUUUUUUGCUUUAUAUUUACGUUUCUUUUUUCUUUCUUAUUUAUUUAUUGGGUUUUAUGCAAAUAUAUUUGAAACAAGAAUUAAAGAGAAGGUUUACCUGGGUCUUAGUGAUUUAGAACCCGAAUGCCGGAGAAAUGUGAAGGUUCGGGCAGGGGAUUUCAUCCAUGGCUAUAACAGUGGCCUUCUUUCUCGCCGAAUUUGGCUCGUGUAGAGAGAUUUCUCUCUGUUUUUAAAAAUGAAUAAAGAGGGUGAUGCUUUAAAUUUUUGGGUGUACUAAAAGUUUUUUUAAGGUUAAAAUAAAAGGAAACAAAUAAGUUUCAGUGGGUAAGGAAACAAAUCAGCAUUGGGGAAUGGAAUUAGUGCGCCUUUUGGCCUGGGUCCACGCGCAUUGUACCUUCCAAUGGGUAAUUUCCGCAAUCAGGCCCCUCCUUUGCGUUAGUCUUCAAUCGGGCCAUGUUAAGUUUCUUAAAUUAUUUUAAUUUAUCCCUGUAACCUACGCACUAUUUCAAUUUGGCCCUCCCCUUUAGUGCAGUAUUUUAAGAUUUGGGGCAUUUUCAAUUUCAGACCUCGAACAUUUAUGCGCAUUUAAUUUUAGCCCAAAAUUCUGUUUUAAUAAUUUGUUUUACUUAUAAAUUAUCCCCUGGAUUUUGUUUUUUCCUCUCAAUUAAAUUUCAGUUAUUUCUUUAGAAUAAUUAUGUUUCAACAUAUUAUUUUGAUUUCAUACUUUUGUGAUUUUUUUUUCAUGUGCGUACCUGUUUAUAUGGAAUACCUUUAUAUAUUAUUAUUACUACUAUAUGUAUUAUUUAUAUUAAGCUUUUCCUGUGUAUAUAUUACUUUAUAUAUUAUUUACUUUUAAUCUUUUAUGCAUAUUUUUUUUUUGGAAUUUCAUUUACGCUACAUAUUUUUUUUCCUUAUUUUUUUUAUUUUGAUACAAUUCAAGCUUUCAUUCAAAUUAUUUACUUUAUAAUAUUUAUUUUAAAAAUUCAUUUGUACAUUACCAUUUGAUAAAUUAUUUCUUUUAUUUUUUUCCCUAUUUUUUUAAAAUUCCUAUAUUUAUUACCUAUUUAGAAUUUUCUUAUAGUUUAUAUAGUUAUAUUUCCAAAUUUUCCUUUUCCUAUUAUUUAUUUUAUUUUAUUUAAAAAAAACUUGUUAUAUUUUAUUUGGGUGAUUUAUUUGAAACUUCUUUUAAAAUUGGUUUCUUAUGCAUUGACUCUUGGACAUAAAUGGUGGUAUUUUUAUAAUAUAUGAUGUGCUGUUAUUGCAUGUAUUCUAAGUUGUUCCUUUGCAUUUCCCUAUUAUUUUAGAUUAUUCAUGAGAUGUUAUUGCCAUGUGUUUUAUUCCUUAUGUUAUCAAGUUUUUUUUAUAAAAAUACAUUUCAUUUAUUUAUUACAUUUCAUUUGAAAUUUUAAAUAAGGCAACGUUCAGUAUUUGAAGAAUUUAAAGGAUCGUGCCCUAACGUACUGGGUUUCGCUUUCUUUGUUUGUUUUGAAUAUUCCGAAUAUCCUUUUAAAGCUAAAACGCACAUUUUAAAGGCAAUAUCACAUUUGAGGGUCGAAAAUGUUGUGUCCUAACGUACUGGAUGUAAUGUUUUACCUCAAGAUGAGAUAGUCUUUAAUACACAUUUGACUUGCCUAAAUGUUUUAAAAGCCAAUAAAAGGAGGAUCGCAUUUUGAACUCUAUUCAAAUUUUUAAUUUUCGGCAUUUAAGACACUAAUUAAUUGAUUAAGUACCAAUUUUGGGCGUGUCGAGGGUGCUAACCCUUCCUCGUACGUAACCGACUCCUGAACCUGUUUUCUUAAAAUUCGUAGACCAAAAUGUUUUAUAAGGUGGCCCAAUUACACCUCAAAAAGGAUUAGUGGCGACUUCCAAUUUUCGUUUUCAAAAGUCGAUUCCCGUUUUUCAAAAAAUGGUUUCGACAGCUUGGCGACUCCACUGGGGACCAAUAAGAGAGUCGAGCUGUAAAUUGAUUAUUUUCUGUCUUUUUGUUGAAAUUUAGAAAUUUAGUUUUCCUAAAAAUACACGAUCAUCGCUUUGUAUUUUCUGUGCCAUUGUUGAGUUUGUUUUUUUCCGUUGAAUUUCUUUAUAUACUCUCGUAUCAUAUCGCAUGACCGUUGUGGUCACACCUUUUAAGUGGGAGUGAGAAACUAUGCUUUUGUGAGGUUUUCACCUCCGCAUGGGCUAGGGGAUCGCUUCCGGAAUACAUCUGUACUUAUGUCUUCGUGAGGUUUUCAUCUCCGCAUGGACAUAAGGAAAUGUAUUCCCCUGAACCAAACUUGAUCCAUAUGAACCUAUAAUGGGUGAGGAUCGAGGAAUCUGCUAGUUCAAGUACUUUUACUCUAGAACUAAACCACAUAUAGUGAGCUGUAGGAACCCGCCUUAGGUAGAAUUACAGCUAGCCUUAGUGGUUGCCCGAAUAGGCGUUUGAUAAUUUCUUGAUUGCUUUGAUUUCUAUUCUUAUGCAUGAUUCUGACUUGUGUUUUUCCUUCUUUCUUUAAUAGUGAUUGCAUAACAUUUUCAUCAUAAAAGGGAGGUGUCGAUAUACGGUUCGGUUACUAAUAGAAAGUUUUGCCAUGAAGAACGAAUUCUUUGAUAAAGUGAAAGACAACGCGUUUGUCCAAAGAUGGUCGGAGAAUGCACAGUUAGAAAAAGGUGACAGUUUGACAGAGGGGUACACGUCGGAGUUAUGGGACUUUACCCGUAUUAGUGUGGUUCAGAAUGAUCUUUAAGAGUUGAAAGAAUUAUGGAGUCACUGGGAUGAGGAGAUGAAGCAACUACUCUACUGUAAUUAUGGUGAUAUUCCUUAUCUCCUCGAUGUUAAGGUAGAUAGGUAUUUGUUCCGCACCAUGGCUCAAUUUUAGAAUUCCGCCUACAGUUAUUUUACUUUUGGAAAGGUGGAUCUAGCACCUACUGUCGAGGAAUAUACAGCCUUGCUUCGUUGUCUGAGGUUUCAAGUUGAUAAGAUUUAUUCUAGAGCUGUCAAUACCCCAACCUUUGUAAAGAGGUUGAUGAAUAUCACUGGGAUGAGUGAGCAGUGGGUUGCAGCUCGAGUCCAGCAGAAAGGCAGUGGAAAGUGCAUCCCUUGGGAGAAUUUGAGAGAGUUGAUCCUGACACACCUUGAUAUGAAGAAAAGAGUUGAUGUUUUCGCCUUGAGCGUUUAUGGUUUUUUUUAUUUUCCCUAAGGCUUUAAGGCAUGUAGAUGAAGCAGUUGCCGAUCUAUUUGACGGAUUUGGUAAAUGAGUCACUCCUGUUCCUGCAAUCUUGGCUGAGACUUUCAGAUCUUUGAGUGCAUGUCGGAGGGCAGGUGAAGGAAGAUUUAUUGGGUGUGCACAACUCUUGUUAGUAUGGUUUCAUAGUCACUUUUGGAGGGUAGAAAAGGCCUCUUACCGACCUUUUCUUGAAGAUUACUCACCUUUGAAGGAGUAGUAACCAUAUCGAGAAGAGAUGACAUAACAGAGGAAAAAUGGAUGGCGAUACUUCAAAAUAUCCAAGAGGAGGAUAUCGAAUGGAAGGCCCCUUGGAUGGUUUCUGAUGAGAUUCUCUACCGAUGUGAGAGUUAUGAUUGGGUCCCUUUGUUGGGGAUUUGGAGAGCCGUUGGAUACGCCCCUCUGCUUGUAUUGAGGUAAUAUAGAUCGAGACAAUUUAUACCGGUGACGCAUGGGCUAGCUCAGAGUGGGUUCUCGUAUAGAGAGAAAGACUCCAAGAAAAAGAGCCGCGAGAGUUAUAAUGCCUGGAACCAAACCUGUCGGAUAAAGGGAGUUGCUAUGAAUCCAAUGGUGACUCUUGAAUAUAAUGAAUGGUGGAGUAGAAGGGUUAACGACAAUAUCCCGAGGCCAAAUUUAGAAAAAGCUCGACCGAUAGAGGAAUAUCUGCGAGUGGUCCCCUCCGAAUUGGAAAUCAUAAAGCAAGACUUCGAAAAGAAAACCUCGGAGUUAGAAAGGAAAAUAGAGAAGUUGGAGGAGGAAAAAGUAUACUUAAAGUUGGAUGUUGAUGUUCAAAAAUCCGAGGCUGAUAAUUUGAGAAAGAGAAAGAGAGAGGUUGAGGAGGACCUGGACAGUAUGAAGACUGAUUACAAGCAGCUGCAUAAGUCAAUGAGAAAUGCUGGCUUGGGUAAAACGUCUGAACAGUGGAGGCAAGAAAUCCAAGAGGAAAAGGCUAGGGCUGAUUGGUGGGAAAGAAAGUUCCACGAUGCUCAGGCUCGAGAAGUCGCUUGUAAAAAGAGUUUAGACGAUAGCCAGAAUGAAAAACAGAUGUUAAGAGCUUGGGUGGCAGAGUUAGAAACGACACUACAGCAACAUCGGAGUCGUGACUCAGUGAUUGAAUUAAGGGCUAGCCUAAGUAAGAUCGAGAAUUUGAAGGGGAAAGUAGAAGAACUUGAGACUACACUUCAGAACUGUGAAUAUCAAAUUAAAUUGUUGGAAGCAAAUAAUGACUCACCGAUCUCAGGAUCAGGUCUGAGAUAGGGAUUACUUAAUGGGCGAAGCUAUAGCUCAGAUACGAGAGGUGGCUGAUCAUUUACAGACUUUGGCGGUCCAAGCAGAUGUGCUAGGAGUUAAAUAUGAGUUACAGUCAGAUCGAGGGCGAGAGUUAGCCUACCUUCUUAAGAAAGUAAAAGAUUUAGGUGUUAGGGCAAGACCGUAUAUGUAAUUCAUUUUAUAUAAAAGAUUUUGUUUUUCAGUAAAGUUUUCUAAAUGAAAUUGAAUGCGAAUCGAUGUCUUCUUUUUGCAUUCAUGUCAUGCAUUUGCAUUGCAUUACAUCGCAUAACAUCAUAUACACAAAAGAACCCUAUUAAUUAGUGGCCAUUUAUCUAGUUACCUUGGAACACCGGUACUACACACGAAGGAAAACAAAGGAUAUGGAUCAGAGGUUUGAGCAAAUGCAAAAGGAGAUGCAAGAGCAACUGCAAGCUCAGAUGCAAGAGCAGCUGGCUAAAAUCCAGUAGGAAAUGAGAGACCAAAUGCUGGAGUCCCAGAGAAACAUGCUAGAAUCACAAAACAACAUGAUAAGCCAGCUGACACAGCUGUUUAAAGGAGGGUCUGACAAAGGAAAAGGCCCUAUGGUUGACACGGGAAAUGACAAUGAGGAUUUCGCUUUUCCUACAAGUUUUGCACCAGUGAACAUGCAAACAUAACCACCAAGGGUGUCUGUUAAUGUCCAACCUCUUUAUCAAACUGGUACCUCGGCACCAAUAACUUCCCAGCAGGAUCGAGCACCAACCCUGGAGAUAAUCUGGCAAACCCCCUGGUCCCUGACUUUGACAACGCAGCAGAGGUAGAAAAGACAAAGGCUGAGGUCCCAAAACAAUUUGAGGAUCGAUGCAAAUGGUUGGAGGAAAAGUUCAAGGAGUUAGAGAAUGCUGAUCAUUACUGCGGAAUCGAUGCAAAGGAACUGAGUUUGGUCCCGGACUUAGUACUUCCCCCGAAGUUUAAAAUGCCGGAGUUUGAAAGAUAUAGCGGAACCAGCUACCCUGAGGCUCACAUUACGAUGUUUUGUCAAAGGAUGACGGGGUAUGUCAACAACGAUCAACUGUUGAUCCAUUGUUUUCAGGACAGUUUGAGUGGGGCUGUAGCGAAAUGGUACAAUCAAUUGAGUAGGUGUAACACUCCAAGCCUAAGUCCGAUCGCCGGUUUAGGCUAUAAGGUAUUAUUGAGCUAAACAUUUAAUUUUUCAUUCACAAAAUUAACAAUAAAAGCAGAAAUUUAGCUGAAUACAUACUGAACCUUGAGUUAUAAAUGUCAUUUUCAUAUAGCCAAAAUAUUUACAAUUACAAAACAUAUUCGUCAACAGCCUAAUCUAUACAUGCCAUAUCGAGUCCAAAAUAUAACUGUACCAAAAAGAUCGAUAGUAUGAAGAACUGCUGACGAUCCCCGAGUCGGCGGCCAGAGUCAACAAUCUAUAAAACAGAGAAAUAAGAAUUUGAGUAAGCUUUCGAGGCUUAGUAAGUUUUAAGCAAUUUAUACUAUUAAAGCUUGUCAUUAAAAUUGAACAUUGAGAAUCACAAAACUUGUAUUCUAAUUGUAAUUCACUUGACCAAAUAUACACCAGCACAUUAGUUACAAAACCCAUUGGCCGAAUAUAUAUGUAUAUAUACACAAGAAACUUCUUGCACAUAUUUUACUAUUUACAAAGAUUAUACUAAUACCUUUAAUUACGUUCUUUCAUAUGAUGACUUACAAUAACCAAUUAUAUUGUUUUCUUAUCCUCAAAUACCGAAUUCAUUCACACACACAUAUAUAUAUCGUUCUUUGAUAUUAGUAAAUCACUUAGAAAUCAAUUCAAAUAUGAGUACAUAACACGAACCUUAACGUGUAAAAUAUAUAAUACUUAUGCAACGAUGUUUACCACUGACAUUCGAAGUCGCAAUCUUACUUAACUUACUGGCAUCGGUUUUGUCAAAUCUUAAAGCUCGGAAUACAUUACUAACAUAAGCCUGCGGGUCUUUAACCCAGAUAUUUUUCCAGUACGUAGCCUGCAGACCUCAAGUCCGGAUAUAUUUCUAGCAUAUAGCCUGCAGAUCUCAUGUCCGGAUAUUUUUCCAGCAUAUGGCCUCGGACCUCAUGUCCGGAUAUUUUUCCAGCAUAUAGCCUGCGGACCUCAUGGCCGGAUAUUUUUCCAAUCUCAUAUAUAUUUGAUCAUAUUUUAACACAUCUCAGUCAUCUUAUCACUUAAUAAUCGUAUAUUACAUUCGAAUAUAAACUCGAUACGCACAUCAUCAUUCACAUUUCAGCUCAAUGGUUAUAUCUCAUAUCACUCAUUCUCUUCACCAUUUAAUCUUAAAUUCAAAGUGACCAUCAAACUAUAAGUCAUAUACAUGCAUUAUCUAUUAUACAUCUUAAUUCAAGUGCAAGCCAAAGAUCACAAUUUACCUACUAUACUCUUAUAAUGGCAUCGUCAAUUAUAUACUAAAGGAAACUACUUAAGACUUACCUUGGAUAUUUUAAACAGUUGCGGGUAAUCUACUCGACUGCUUUCUCCUUUCCCUUAUCUGAUUUAGACCCUCUUAGCUCUUGAGCUUGAUUCAAACAAAUAGAUCUAUUUAAUUUCUUAUCAAUUUAACAAUUCGAUUUAAUACAUGUAUAUCGUGCCAUUAAGUACAAAUGAUUUUAUUAACUAGCUAUUUAAACGUCAUACAUAUGCUCUACUCAUGCAUAAUCGAAAAUAUUACUAGCGUAUUACCUUGCAUUUUCGAAUUACAUAACCAUCACUUAAUUUCAUAAAAAAAAAUACACAUAUUAUUUCAGAUUAACACAAGAAUCAGAUGCAUCACUCAAAAUGCCAAAGUCCGACUAAGUCUACCAUUAUAGCAUUAUCAAGUUUAUGUAUUUGGUAAUUCACAUUCAAACACAUUCGGCAUUAUGUAUCUGAUCAAAUGUUUCAUUUAACGCUAAACUCAACUUAUAACCUUCCCUAAUUAAAACAUUCAACACUGACUAGACAUGCUUACAUGCCUAAGCCGAAUAUCAUUUUAGACAUUUGAGAAAUCAUUUCUCAAUUCAUCUUAUUAGUGUUACCUCACUCAAAACAUUUACACCAAUCCAUUAUAAUUAAAACCCUUGUUCAAAAUAAUAUUCACUAUAAUACUAUGGCCGAAACUCCCAAAUAACUAACAUAGUCUCUUAGAUUCAAUAUAAUCACGAAUAUAUAUAUAUAUACAACCUAAAUUCCUCUCUUAACACAUAAUUUACUAUCUUGGAAUUCAUUUCCUAACUAAAUUAACUUACUCCAAAGCCGAAUGCUACUUAAGCAUUAAGCUCAUGUUCUUUUCAUUAUUAAGCAAUUUUCAUAACUCAACUAACAUCCAUUUUCAAUUUAACAUCAACAUUAAAAAAAAUUUAACACAAAAAUUCAUAGCCGAAUGUUGUUUAUUUUAAGCUACCAUUAUAUAAUUACUUAUCACUUCAUACCAUAUUAUCAAAAUUGAACUAAUUAUACUUAUAUAAGUACUAUCAAAGCCGAAACCUAUGCAUAGCAUUAUUCAAGAUUUAUACCCUUAAAAUCAUUUACAAGGCCGAAUUUGUUCAAGUAACUCAACAAGUCCAAGUUCAUCUAUUUCAUAUAUAAAUACUAACAAUUAAGUAUUAACUAGUUCAAACUUCAUUUAACCAUAAGAACAACAAUCUAUCCCCUUCAAUUUCUCCCAUGGCCGAAUGCUCAAGACACCACACAACUCAAAAUUUUGUCAUGGGUUAAGUAAAGAACUUAAUAACUAACUCAAAAUAUGCUAAAAAUCCAAGAAUUAACAUGAAUUACUUACCUUAUUUAAAGUUCAAGAUCACUGAAUGGUUUGUUCUUUUCCUUCUUUAAAAUCGGCUAGGAAGAAACAAGGAUGAAUACUUUGUUUUCUUUACCCAUUUUCUACCUUUAAUUAUUAUUAUUCUAUAAUUUAAAGCCAUUUAAUUAAAAAUAAUGCUAAUAGAAAAUUCAUAUAUUUUAUACUAACUAACAACAUGGCCGGCCACUAUCAAAAAUGGGUAAUUUGACAUGCAAAACCAUUCUUUUCAAUACAUACAUUAUUAGACCACCUUUAAAAAUUACCUAUCAUCUUUCACAUUUUUCUCACAUAAGUCCCAUUUAAUAAUUUCAUAUACAAAUGACAAAAUUAAAGCAUGAAACUUUCACAUAUGCAUGUACACAUAUAAUAAGCAUAGAAUAUAACAAUUAAUUAUUUUUGUGACUCGAUUUUGUGGUCCCGAAACCACUUUCCGACUAGGGUCAAAUUAGGGAUGUCACAGUAGGACCUAAGUCAAGUCGUGGAAGGACCUAGCUCAGGCCUUCAUGAAGCAGUAUGGCCAUAUAACGGAUAUAGCACCUGACCGGAUCACACUCCAGAAUAUGGAGAAGAAGCCAAGUGAAAGCUUCUGGCAGUAUGCUCAGAGAUUGAGAGAGGUCGCUACACAGGUCCAACCACCAUUGCCAGAAAAAGAAACAACCAUGCUCUUCAUCAAUACAUUGAAGGCGCCUUUCAUUACUCACAUGUUAGGUAAUGCAACAAAGAGUUUCACGGACAUAGUAAUGUUUGGAAAAAUGAUAGAAAAUGCCAUAAGAUCGGGUAAGAUAGAAGUUGGGGAGAACACGAGAAGGUCAGCCCCGAAGAAAAGAGAGAAUGAAGUAGGUAAUGUGAGCUCAGGCUACGCAAAACCUGCCACUGUUAAUCAGUCAAGGGCGAUAAUCACAGGCCAGCAGGCCUCACCAAGGCGGGAGCCUAACACGAGACAGAAUACAGAGAAAUUUCAAUUCACUCCCAUACCAGUGACAUAUAGGGAGUUGUACAAAAGUCUGUUUGAUGCAUAUAUAGUGGCUCAUUUCCACUUAGAGCCGUUGCAGCCCUCAUACCGUAAGUGGUACGACGUAAAUACUCAGUGUGAAUACCACACAGGGAUUACGGGGCACUCGAUAGAAAACUGUACCUCGUUCAAAAGGUACGUGAAAAGGCUUAUCAAAGCAGGUGUUGUAAAAUUCGAUGAUACACCUGGUACGGGAAAUCUGUUGCCCAGUCAUACUGAUAAAGGGGUAAACGCGAUAAUUGAGAAUAUGGGGAGGAAAGUCAAGCUGAAUUUCGCGGAGGUGAGAACCCCAUUGAAGCUAGUUUAGAAGGAAAUGCAGAAGAGAGGUUUAGCCCUGCAGGGGUUGGGGGAUAAAAUCUAAUAUACACAAAACUACUGUGAGUUCCAUCAUGAGAAAGAUCACGAGAUCUAGAAUUGUAUUGAGUUCAGGGCCCUUGUACAGGGUCUAAUGGAUAAUAAGGAAUUGGAGUUCCUCGAGUCUGUUGAAGAGGGGGAUGUAUGCUCUCUAGGAGGAGAGUCAAGUGAAGAAGGUUGCAGAGCCAGCUGUCCAGUGAUAAUUAUUUCGAAGCCCAGAAUUAGUGAAGUAGAAGCAAGAGUUACACCAAGAGUUAUAAUCCGGAAGCCAACAGCUUCCCCUUAUAAAGAUAGCCAUAGGGUGCCUUGGAAUUAUAAUUGUAGUAUAGCAGUUUUAGAGAAGGAAGGUUUGAUUAGCACGCCAAACACAGAAGGUAAACCAGUAAAAGGGAAACCCGUCAUACUCAAGAAAGAAGUAGAGAGAUCAGAACCACUGGUUAAUGAGCCAGUAAUGGAAAAUGAAACCAAUGAGUUCUUGAAGUUCCUAGGACACAGCGAGUAUAGUGUUGUGGAACAACUACACCAACAACCGGAUCGCAUAUCGAUAUUGGCUCUGCUGUUAAAUUCGAAGGUCCACCGCAACGUAUUGAUGAAAGUGUUGAAUGAAACCAAUGUUGCGGAUGACAUUUUGGUUAACAAAUUGGAUCGUCUCGUCGGUAACAUAAGCGUUAAUAAUUUCAUCUCCUUCAGCGAUGAUGAGAUACCACUAGGGGGUAGAGGGUCUACUAAGGCUCUGCAUGUCACUACACGUUGCAAGGGGUAUACGCUACUCGGAGUACUAGUUGAUAAUGGGUCCGCAUUGAACGUAUUGCCUUGGGCUACGUUAAACCGUUUACCUAUAGACAGUUCUCAUAUGAAGACGUGUCAGAACAUAGUAAGAGCAUUUGAUGGCACAGAAAGGAAAGUAAUGGGAAGGAUAGAGGUACCUCUUCAGAUUGGCCCAAACACGUGCGAGGUAGAUUUUCUUGUGAUGGAUAUUAAGCCUUCCUAUAACUGUCUAUUAGGAAGACCUUGGAUUUACUCAGCUGGGGCAGUGCCAUCCUCGCUGCACCAGAAGCUAAAGAUGAUUACUGAGGGACAGCUAAUAACAAUAAAUGCGGAGGAGGAAAUUAUUGCGUCAGUUACCAGUGAUGCACCCUACAUAGAGAAUGAUAACGAAGCAUUUGAAUGUUCAUUUCGAUCAUCAGAGUUUGUAAACGCAACGUUUAUAGCUGAAGGAAGCAGGAUUCUGAUACCUAAGAUAUUAGGGGCUACGAAAAUGAGCCUGCAGCUGAUAGUUGGGAAAGGGUCGUUACCUGGCAGAGGACUCGGGAGGCACCUCCGUGGAUAAGUUAGAGUGUCAAUCUUGGUUGGCAAGUGGGAUCGCUUCGGUUUGGGAUUCAGGCCAGAUGCAAGCCAAGUGAAGAAGGAGUUUGAAAGAAAACAAGAACAGCGGAGAGCAAAGAUUGAGUGGGACAGAAGUCAGGUGGGAAUCGAUGAACUUCCCCCACAUUUCCCAAACAUUUGUAUUUGAAGGGUUUAUUCAUUCUAUACAUUAUAAGGUGAAAGAAGGAAUGGCUGAAGAUGCGAUAGGAAUUUGAAGCAUCAAUGCCACAUUUGAAGAGGAAGCAAUGGAAAGGAAUUUAUCAGACAUUUGCCUGUAUGAGCCUAGGAGUGUUUUGGAUAACUGGACUGAGGAAGAAAUUCCUGUAAUCUUUAGAGCUAACACAGAGUAAUAUUCAAAACCUACCUGUUGUCUUCUAGCCUAGGGACAAUAAGAAUCUUUUGUGAAAUAGGCUCAUGUUCAAACAUUAUUAUUUUCAAUAAAAAAUGCAUUUUCAUAUAUCGGUUCGAGCAAUUAUUCUUUUUUCCUUUUCAUUUCAUACACAAUCAUACCAUACAAAGGAAUUAUCCAUUUCGUUUUCUUUGGGUAUUCUCUUAUACUCAUAAUAGGCCCCCGGAUGUCCACGUCAUGAGAAAUACUGAUGCGAGCUCGAAAUUUCCUUUGGAGUGAGACAUGUGCUUUAAGGGACUUCAAGAUUUUGAAGAGGAUGAGGAUUGUGGUUUACCUCCCGAUUUGUUAAGGAUGGUGGAGCGAGAAGAGGAACAGAUCCUGCCACACAAAGAGACUACUGAGAUUGUGGCCCUAGAAGAGGGGAAGGAAGUUAAAAUUGGCACUUGCGUUAACGAGAAAACAAGACAGAGCCUCAUUGAGCUGUUACAAGAAUUCAAAGACGUAUUUGCAUGGUCAUACCAGGAUAUGCCUGGUCUAAGUACUGAUAUCGCAGUGCACCGUGUCCUUACAAAAAAGGAGUGCAAGCCAGUUCAGCAGAAGUUCAGAAGGAUGAGACCCGAUGUAGCAAUGAAAAUAAAGGAAGAAGUCAAGAAGCAGUUUAAUGCUGAAUUCCUACAGGUGGUUAAUUAUUCAGAGUGGGUUGACAAAGUCAUCCCUAACCCUAAGAAAGAUGGGAAAGUGCGGAUGUGUGUAGAUUACAGAGAUUUAAACAAGGUCAGCCCAAAGGAUAACUUUCCAUUGCCUCACAUAGACACUCUAGUGGAUAAUACAGCAGGCUAUUCACUGUUCUCCUUCAUGGAUGGGUUCUCCGGGUACAAUCAGAUCAAGAUGCAUCCUAAGGACAUAGAAAAAACCACAUUCAUAACUUUAUGGGGAACGUUUUGCUACAAGGUGAUGCCCUUCGGGUUGAAAAAUGCAGGAGUCACAUACCAAAGAGCCAUGGUAACCUUGUUCCAUGACAUGAUGCACAAGAAAAUUGAGGUCUACAUUGACGACAUGAUUGCAAAAUCCCGAACUGAAGAGAAGCAUGUACGAGUGUUUAGAAAAUUGUUCCUCAGGUUGAGAAAAUUCCAAUUAAAGCUCAAUCCGUCAAAAUGCACCUUCGGAGCUAGGUCCGAAAAGUUACUCGGCUUCGUAGUCAGUGAGAAGGGAAUAGAAGUUGACCUUGAUAAAAUCAAGGCUAUACAGGAGCUGCCUCCGCCACGAACUCAGAAAGAAGUCCGAGGUUUCUUAGGGAGACUAAACUACAUCGCACUAUUUAUUUCGCAACUGACUGAGAAGUGUGACCCCAUAUUCCAUCUUCUUAAAAAGCAUAAUCCUGGGGUAUGGGAUGAUAAAUGCCAAAAAAAACCUUUGAAAAGGUUAAACAAUAUUUGUCCAGUCCCCCAGUGCUAACACCACCAAGCCCUGGUAGACCAUUGAUACUGUACUUAACAGUAUUUGAUAAUUCGAUGGGGUGUGUGCUCGGUCAACACGAUGAGACUGGGAGAAAAGAAAGAGCGAUAUAUUACCUCAGUGAGUGUGAAAUGAGGUAUCUGCCAAUUGAGAAGCUAUGCUGUUCUUUGGUUUGGACAACACGAAGGUUGAGGCAAUACAUGUUGUACCAUACAACUUGGCUAAUUUCAAAGCUAGACCCUCUUAAAUACAUGAUGGAGUCAACCACUUUAAAUGGAAGGAUGGCCCGAUGGUAGAUUCUGCUCUCCGAAUUUGACAUAGUCUAUGUAAACCAAAAAGCUAUGAAAGGGAGUGUAAUAGUAGACUUCCUAGCCAAUAGAGCUUUGGAGGACUAUGAACCUUUGAAUUUUAAUUUCCCCAAUGAAGAUCUAAUGUAUGUAGCAAUCGCUGAAGGAAACGUGCCUGAAGAUUAUUCUUGGAAAUUAAAUUUUGACGGAGCAUCAAAUGCCGUUGGAAAUAGAGUUGGGGCGGUAAUGAUAUCCCCAAAUGGAGAUCAUUAUCCAUUCACUUACAAGCUGGAUUUUGACUGCACCAACAAUAUGGCAGAAUACGAGGCAUGUAUCAUGGGAAUUCGGGCAGCUAUAGACAGCGAAAUCAAAGUAUUAGAAGUGUAUGGAGAUUCUGCAUUGGUAAUUUAUAAGCUUAAAGGCGAGUAGGAAACGAGAGAUCCUAAAUUGAUUAGUUACCGAAAGUUAAUCUUGGAGUUAAUCGAAGAGUUUGAUGAUAUUACCUUUCAUUACCUCCCGCGAGACAAGAAUCAGAUGGCUGACGCCUUGGCCAUACUAGCUUCCAUGAUCAAAGUAAAUGAACAAGAGGUUAUGAAGCCAAUUCAGAUGAGUAUUUGUGAGGCUCCAGCUCACUGCUGUAAUGUCGAUGAAGAAGAAGAGAGAGAUGAUCAUCCUUGGUAUCAUGAUAUCUUACAAUAUGUGAAGAGCCGUGCGUACCUAGAUCAAGCAACCGAAAAUGAUAAAAGAACAUUAAGGAGGUUAGCCAGUGACUAUGUCCUAGACAGUGAGGUCCUAUAUAAGAAGAGAAAGGAUCAGGUGUUGUUAAGAUGUGUUGACGCUGUUGAGACAAAGAAAAUUCUAGAGGAAGUCCAUGAUGGUGUCUGUGGGACACAUGCCAAUGGUUUCACAAUGGCUCGACAAAUCAUGAGAUUCAAAUAUUACUGGUCUACAAUGGAAGGAGAUUGCAUCAAUUACGCUAAGAAGUGCCAUAAGUGUCAAAUUUAUGGAGACAAGAUCCAUGUGCCUCCUUCACCCCUCUAUGUUAUGACUUCCCUAUGACCAUUCUCAAUGUGGGGCAUGGACGUCAUUGGGCCAAUUUCGCCAAAGGCUUCCAACGGAUAUCGAUUCAUUUUUAUGGUUACUACUUUACCAAAUGGGUAGAGGCUGUUUCGUACGCCAAUAUCACAAAGUCGGCGGUCAGCAAGUUCCUGAAGAAGGAGAUCGUAUGUCGUUAUGGUAUGCCAGAAAGAAUCGUAUCUGACAAUGCGUUGAAUCUGAACAAUAGCGCAAUAGCAGAAGUUUGCAGUCAGUUCAACAUUAAACAUCACAUGUAUGUAGCAAUCGCUGAAGGAAACGUGCCUGAAGAUUAUUCUUGGAAAUUAAAUUUUGACGGAGUAUCAAAUGCCGUUGGAAAUAGAGUUGGGGCGGUAAUGAUAUCCCCAAAUGGAGAUCAUUAUCCAUUCACUUACAAGCUGGAUUUUGACUGCACCAACAAUAUGGCAGAAUACGAGGCAUGUAUCAUGGGAAUUCAGGCAGCUAUAGACAGCGAAAUCAAAGUAUUAGAAGUGUAUGGAGAUUCUGCAUUAGUAAUUUAUCAGCUUAAAGGCGAGUAGGAAACGAGAGAUCCUAAAUUGAUUAGUUACCGAAAGUUAAUCUUGGACUUAAUUGAAGGGUUUGAUGAUAUUACCUUUCAUUACCUCCCGCGAGACAAGAAUCAGAUGGCUGACGCCUUGGCCAUACUAGCUUCCAUGAUCAAAGUAAAUGAACAGGAGGUUAUGAAGCCAAUUCAGAUGAGUAUUUGUGAGGCUCCAGCUCACUGCUGUAAUGUCGAUGAAGAAGAAGAGAGAGAUGAUCAUCCUUGGUAUCAUGAUAUCUUACAAUAUAUGAAGAGCCGUGCGUACCCAGAUCAAGCAACCGAAAAUGAUAAAAGAACAUUGAGGAGGUUAGCCAGUGACUAUGUCCUAGACAGUGAGGUCCUAUAUAAGAAGAGAAAGGAUCAGGUGUUGUUAAGAUGUGUUGACGCUGUUGAGACAAAGAAAAUUCUAGAGGAAGUCCAUGAUGGUGUCUAUGGGACACAUGCCAAUGGUUUCACAAUGGCUCGACAAAUCAUGAGAUUCGAAUAUUACUGGUCUACAAUGGAAGGAGAUUGCAUCAAUUACGCUAAGAAGUGCCAUAAGUGUCAAAUUUAUGGAGACAAGAUCCAUGUGCCUCCUUCACCCCUCCAUGUUAUGACUUCCCUAUGACCAUUCUCAAUGUGGGGCAUGGACGUCAUUGGGCCAAUUUCGCCAAAAGCUUCCAACGGAUAUCGAUUCAUUUUUGUGGUCAUUGACUACUUUACCAAAUGGGUAGAGGCUGCUUCGUACGCCAAUAUCACAAAGUCGGAGGUCAGCAAGUUCCUGAAGAAGGAGAUCGUAUGUCGUUAUGGUAUGCCAGAAAGAAUCGUAUCUGACAAUGCGUUGAAUCUGAACAAUAGCGCAAUAGCAGAAGUCUGCAGUCAGUUCAACAUUAAACAUCACAACUCAUCACCAUACCGCCCGAAAAUGAAUGGGGCGGUUGAGGCAGCUAAUAAGAAUAUCAAGAAGAUUGUGGGGAAGAUGGUGGAGACUUACAAAGAUUGGCAUGAAAAGCUCCCAUUUGCCCUUUAUGCUUAUCGGACAUCUGUCAGAACUUCUACUAGGGCAACACCUUUCUCAUUGGUUUAUGGGAUAGAGGCAGUUUUACCUAUUGAGGUCGAAAUCCCUUCUCUUCAAGUUUUAUCAGAGCUGAAGUUAGACGAAGCAGAAUGGAUCCAAUCUCGUUACGAUUAACUAAACUUGAUUGAAGAGAAGAGGCUGAAGGCUAUUCGUCAUGGUCAAUUGUACCAGAGGAGAAUGAUGCGAGCCUACAACAAAAAAGUUCACCCAGGGUGUUAUAUGAGGGGGACUUAGUAUUGAAAAAGAUUCUCCCUAUGCAAAAAUAUUUCAGGGGGAAAUGGAUGCCAAAUUGGGAAGGACUUUAUGUGGUAAAAAAGGCUUUCUCUAGAGGGGCAUUGAUACUAGCAAAGAUGGAUGGCAAGAGCUUGCCUAACCCGAUAAAUUCAGAUUUUGUCAAAAGAUAUUUUGCUUGAAGCAGUUGAGGUGAAAACCCGUAAAGAGCGCCAAAAAAAAGGAGAGGCCAAAGUGAAAACCCGUAAAAGGGCGCCUUGAGACCAAAGGGGUUUUGAAUUGAAAACCCGCAAAGGACAAUUCAACUUUCGAUCCAAACUGGGGCAAGCGGCAGUCUCACUACACUUGAAUCGACAAAGAGGAGAUAAGCUACAUCUUGGGGCAUCAACAAAAUGUUAUAGAUCCCUUGAGCGCGUGCCAAGUUUAAAAAGGUCCUCGAGGAGUUCGUGUAGAGAAGCUCAAACUGCGAAAUCUGGGGCACCUAUUCUGUUCCUUUUCAUCCGUUUUUGUAUCUCAAACAAUGUCUGCUUUCUUUGUUGAUACAUCUUUCGCAAAUUUUGACUCGAAUAAAUUUCAGUUCUACCUAUCAUUAUAAUCUUUUUCGAGUAUUUUUAUUGAAAUAAUGAUUAAUGAACUAAUAAUGCUCUCAAAAGAAGUUUUUGCAUAUUACUCUGAAAGGUUUCUAAACAAUACGAGAACCUGAAACAGGACAAUUAUUUAGAACUCACCGAGCUUAAAAGGGCUAGAAACGUGUGAAAAAUAAGGGAUUAACCGCAUCUUCAGGUCCUUUUCUACCGAGCUGAACAAGAAGGCAUAUAUCAGAGAUGUUACCUUAGUAAACAACGAGCGAUGACAGCCCAAAAUUAAAAUAGAUCAUUCUCAUGACAUUUUGCAUGUUGUGCAUUUAACAUCCAUAAUACAUGUAGUUAGGAGAAUUUGAUUCAUAUUAAUCAUGGCAUCCUAAUCAUCUAGCAUAAGCAUAUCACUCUCCUACAGAUGGAUUCCCCAGUGGACAAUGUAGCAGGAUUAUAGAUAUCAUAAGCCUUAUCUUCACUGAGCAGGAGUGGAGCAGGCUAAAUACCAGAUCUUAUCUUCACUGAGCAGGGGUGAAGCAGAUCAAAUUUUAGAUAAUCUUAUCUCCACGUACCGGCGAUGGAGCAGGUUCCAAUCAUCAACUUUAUCUUCACUGAGCAGGAGUGGAGCAGGCUAAAUAUAUCAGAUCUUAUCUUUAUUGAGCAGGAGUGAAGCAGAUCGAAUUUUGGAGAAUCUUAUCUCCACGUACCGGCGAUGGAACAGAUUCCAAUCAUUAGCUUUAUCUUUACUGAGCAGGAGUGGAGUAGGCUAAAUAUACUAGAUCUUAUCUUCGUUGAGCAAGAGCGGAUCAGAUAAAGUUCCAACAAAUCGUAUCUUCAUGAAACAGCUAUGAGACAUUUGGAAGCAAUAGGAUGCAGUGGGUUGUGAUAAAGUUACACCAAGAAGCGCCAAAGGAAGUCAAGAUUUGGCAAGACCGGGCAAAAUUUAUAACAGCCUAAUUUUUAGUAGUAUCGGGAAUAGAGAUUUGAGAUCACUAAAUCUGAUGGGUGAGUUGAAAAUUUAAUAAAUUAAUACCUAUGAGUCAAAUGUGAAUAUAAAAGCAUUUUUGAAUUAGUAAAUUUGGUGAUUUAAAAGAAUUAAUUAGGUAAAUUGGGUCGAGAAUAAGGUAUCGAGACCUCGACUUCAUAAAUCGAGCCAUAAAUAUUUUUAGAAAUAUUUAUGGAGUGUUGGUGAGGUAGUAAUAAAAUUUAGUCAGAAAAUUUUGACGUUUGGGUGGUUAAUUAAAUAAAAAGGACUAAAUUGAAAAGGGUGUAAAAGUUGCUAAAAUGAUUAAAUAGCUCAAUUUUCAAAUGAGAAGGACCUAAAGUGCAAAUAAGCCCAAAGGAGAUAUUUUGGGUGGCAAUAGCUGAGAAAAAUCAGGAAAUGGGUGAAAUAGGGCAAAAUUGGAAAAUUGACAAAAUUGGCUAAAUAAAAAUGGGACUAAAUUGGGAUAUCUAGAAUUCUCUUCAUUUCUCUUCAUAUUCAUCAGCUGAAAAACAUCCAUGGAGGAGGGUUCAAGCUGGUUUUCAUACUCUAGCUUCAUGUAAGUUUAAUUCUUGCUUUCUCCUUGACAUUUUUAUGUUUUUGGACUUUUACAAUUGGGUCCAACUUACUAUUUCAUUAGUUUGUGAUUCCAUGUCUAAUUUUUGAAGUUGUUAUGGAUGAGUGCUGGAAGUAUAUGAUGAUUUUGCAUGGAAUUAGAACUUUAAAUUGUUUAUAUUCUGAUUUUAUUGAAAGAAUUGAAUAGAAAGUGAAUGUUUGGGACCUAAUUGUAAAAGAGUUUGAAGUUAGAGUUUUAUGUGGAAAUUCUGAAUCUCAAUAGUUAUGAAAUAACUUAUAAUGUAAAGAAAAAGUAUUAAUUGAGAAAAUUAUCUUAAUUUAGGGGUUAAUUGAAUAAGGACUGAAUUGUAUGAAUUGUAAAAUUUGGGGUAAAAUGGAAAUCAACAUUUUGCACUAAAACUGUUUUGGGCAACAACAGUAGUUUAACUUUGAAAAAUCAUAAAAAAAUGUAGAAAUCGAAUUAGAGGAUGAAUAAAAUAUGAAAUUAAAGCUUAUUAAGUCUAGUUCCUUAUAAAAGAAAUUAUGUAAGCAAUGGAAUUGUAAAUCAUGAGAUACAAUAACUUUUGUGAGACAAGGUCAGAAUGAUUUCGGGUUCCCCUGUUCUGAAUUUGGAAAAUCAUCAAAAAUUGGAUAAAAAUAAUUAGAGGCUUAAAUUUAUAUGUUUAGAAUCUUGAAUGAGUCUAUUUUCAAGAGAAACAAACGAGGACAUCAUUCAAAUCUUGUACGAGAAGAUAAUUAAUUUUUAGUGAAGAAGGGUCGAAACUGUCAGACAGCAGAACAGGGGAGACUUCAAUGAAUAAACUGUAUUAAUUGGCCUAGCCAAAAAUUAUGAAAUUUUUAUGGUAAGAAUAAAUAUGAGUCUAGUUUCUGGAAAAAUUCAUGUAUCUUAAUUUGGAGUUCUGUGGCUCAAGAUAAAAAUAAUUUAGUGACUAUGACACAGAUGGACAGCUUGAAUAUUCACAUAAGUAGAUAGUGAAAAUUAUGGAUAAUGUUACCUACAAGUGUGUUGUUUAUACUAAGGAUGUGGAUGGAGAGGAGGAGGAGGAAAAUAUACAAAAAUAUAUGAAUAACUCGUGUAUAAAUUGAUCACAUGCCCGAUUAUAAUCGAUAAGUGUUGGAUUAGAAAUGAUAUAAUGUUUUAUUUGGUAUAUUUAUUAUGAAAUUAUGAUUAUCGUUAUAAUACAAAAAUUGAACUUGUGAGUUUAUAUGGAUAAAUUUUAGUGAUUAUUUGUUAAUUUUAUGAAUUUCAUAUUGUGUUAUUUCAUAUGUGUUGAUGAUAAAAUCGUGAAUAAUGUAAAAGCAUGAAAAUUGAAUAAAUGAUCAAAUUGAGAAUUUCAGUUCAGUGACAAGAUGAAUUGAAGGAAAAGACCAUGGUUGGACCAUGGAAACAAGUGAUAAGUGAUAGCUUCGGCUACACUUAUCUGAUCAAGGAAAAGUGAAAGUGAUAAGUGAUAGCUUCGGCUACACUUAUCUGAUCAAUGACAAAUGACAAGUGAAAAGUGGUAGCUUCAACUACCUGAUCAGUGAAAAGUGGUAGCUUCUGCUACCUGAUCACCGGCUACCUGAUCAGUGAAAAGUGGUAGCUCCGGUAGCUCCGGCUACCUGAUCAGUGAAUAGUGAUAGUUUCGGCUACAAGUGACAAGUGACAAGUGAUUUCCGUUUAAGACCAUAUUCCGUAUAAGACCAUAUCUAGGAUAUGGCAUCGGUGUGAUAUAUGCUACUGUAUAAGACCAUAUCUGGGAUAUGGCAUCAGUGAGAUAUGUGAUUCGUGUAAGACCAUAGCUGGGCUAUGGCAUCGAUAUAUGAAUAUGUGUAAGACCAUAGCUGGACUAUGGCAUCAUUAUGUGAAAAUGUGUAAGACCAUAGUUGAACUAUGGCAUCGAAAAAAUGAAGUACUCAAUUUCGUAAGACGUUCACUAAUUUGACAAAGUUUGGUAAGUGUUACAUGGAAUUAUGUGAUACAAGGAAGUACGAGUUGAUAAGAUACGAGUAUAGAACUUGGUUGAUAAAUGAAUUCAUUUGUGAUUAUUUAAUUAUUCAUCUUGAAUGUACUGUCCAUAUGUAUUGAUAAUUCAAAUGUUUUAAUGAAUAAAAUUCUGAUAUGGGAUAAAUUGAACACGAGACAAAUAAUUAUAAAAUUGAACUCGAAAUUCAUGAAAAUGACGGUUAUUGAUAUAUGGAGACAUGAGACAUUGAUAUAUGAAUAUGGAAAAUGUUUGAUAAAUGUGUUUAUUCAUAAUUAUAGGAUUAUAUACCUCAUGUGUACUAUUUGCAUAAAGAUGAUAUUUCAAAUACUUUGGUUAUUUAAGAUUAAAUAGGAAAUAGUCUGAAAUCAAGAUAAGUUGUUAUGAAAAUAUAUUUAGAUUACAGAGAUAUGGCUGAUAUAUGUUGUAUGAUUACAUAACGUGAAAUUGUGUAUAUAUAUGAGAAAUUGAAUGAGAAUUAAGCCCAAACACGUUUCUUGUUAUUUAUAUGAAGUGUACGACUGACAAGGGUGAUGAAGUUAUAAACAGAGAAUUACACGGGUUGAAAACACGAGCGUGUGACUCUCCAAAGUGUGAAAAUUUUCUAAGUGUUGCAAAAGUUUCAUAUGUUUACGGUUUGGUCCCGAACUAUCCUGAAUGUAUGUUUUGGGCCCCGUAGGCCCAUAUAAGGGACGUUAAACAUAUGUAUGAAAGUUUUUAAUUUAGAAAAAAAAUUUAUGGCUGAUUUUUUUUACAUGAUUGAUCAUAUUAAGUUUGGUAAUGCCUCGUACCUUAUUCUAGGCUCGGAAUACGGGUAGGGGGUGUUACAAAAUUGGCCCAUUUAGAGUCUUUGCUCCAUUCUCGUUACACGACAAUGAGCAAAGAGGGGUAGCUGUAGACCCAAUUUUCAGCCAGGCCUAAACCACCAGGAACCCAAAACCAAAUACAAGCCAAUUAAAGCCUAAAUACCUACAUUGAAGUCCAAAUCACAUCUCAAAUCAAACACCUAAAACAAAAUUAUAGACCAAGCCCAAUUACAUAAACCCCAACAGCCCAAAAAAAUAAUAAAAACAAAAACACCAUCAGCCGUCACAACCCAGGGCAGUCUCCAGGCACAGCACGUCUCGCGCUUCCUCCGCGUCAUGCGCUGCUCCACCAUGCCACAUCAGUGAUGCACUCAUGCACGUAC